UCAAAAGAGAAGCUUUGAGGAAAAAGGAAGCACCCCUUUCCAUAGUCUAAAAAGAGAAGAGAUUGAGAGCUUUGGAUUCCUCCACUUUGACUUCAGUCUCUCAUCGCUGUGCUGAAAUUUGAGGCCGAGAUCUUGUUGUGUUUGCCAUUUUUAUUUUUUUCAAAAUUUAACAAGUUCUUUUUGAAAAAAAUUUAAUGCAUUCUUGAAGGUUUUUUGGCUGAAAGUUUAGGAGUUUUAACUAAUUUUUAGAUUGUUUUGGCUUCUUUGCCCUAAGAGCAAUGUUAUAUCAGUUAUUGUAGAGGUUAAGAUAGAGGAA
RNAcentral lists this long non-coding RNA (316 nucleotides) under Elaeis guineensis (African oil palm). RNAcentral describes it as "long non-coding RNA (EGUI_LNC025584)". The record is from RNAcentral. Lineage: Eukaryota; Viridiplantae; Streptophyta; Magnoliopsida; Arecales; Arecaceae.